This is a long non-coding RNA of Lontra canadensis (Northern American river otter), 723 nucleotides long. RefSeq lists it as uncharacterized. The transcript is spliced from 3 exons. The record is from RefSeq and is a predicted model, not a curated record. Lineage: Eukaryota; Metazoa; Chordata; Mammalia; Carnivora; Mustelidae.
GACACCUUGUUGUAGAAAUGGAAGGGGCAUAAAGACUUACAGAGAACAAUUAUAUAACAAGAUCAAAAUUAUUGAAAGGGGUCAUAGGGAAGAGCGGGCAGUAGUAGGAGGGCUGUGCGUCCUGUCUCGGGAAAGAGUCUCCAAGCCGGCUGGGACAGCUCUUCCUCUUUGAAAUGUUUUUGUUUAGGAUUUGCCAACCCACGUGAGAACCUUAGCUUGACAAGGUCAAGGACCAUGCCUUGCUCACUCCUGGAUCCCUGGUUCCUGCAACAGUGCCUGACACAUGGUGGAAGGCCCAUGGGUACAAGAACUGACGAAUGAAUGAGCACAUGACCCUGGGGUGUGUGAGGAACUGUGGGAAGAACGGCCUAUCUGGGAAGAAGUGUGUGUCCUUGAGGAGUAGGGGACUCUCCAACAGACCAGCAGAUGGGGCACCUAAGUAGGCCUGCAUGGGAUUCAAACCACGGGGCAGGCGAACCUAGCUGAACAGGGUAUGGGCACCACUGAAAACUGCCAAGGACGACCCUGUAUAGAGUGCAACAGGGGACUUGAAUCUGAAAUUAAACUAAAGCACAAACUAAACAAAAUUGUUCUGCACUGUGCUUGGUCAGCCAACAGCUAUGCUUAAAAAAGAAAAAAGAUCUGCUCAGUUCUUGUUAAGAACACAGUAAAAUGUUAAUGGGAUCACAAGACUUAUGACUACCUACAACGAUCACCUUCACC